This 2270-nucleotide ribosomal RNA is filed under the name Salmonella enterica. RNAcentral's name for it is "bacterial LSU rRNA". It matches the Rfam family "Bacterial large subunit ribosomal RNA", at positions 690 to 2925 of the family's 2925-position model. RNAcentral also lists the same sequence under 2 other names. Lineage: Bacteria; Pseudomonadati; Pseudomonadota; Gammaproteobacteria; Enterobacterales; Enterobacteriaceae. The record is from RNAcentral.
GGGCGUUAAGUUGCAGGGUAUAGACCCGAAACCCGGUGAUCUAGCCAUGGGCAGGUUGAAGGUUGGGUAACACUAACUGGAGGACCGAACCGACUAAUGUUGAAAAAUUAGCGGAUGACCUGUGGCUGGGGGUGAAAGGCCAAUCAAACCGGGAGAUAGCUGGUUCUCCCCGAAAGCUAUUUAGGUAGCGCCUCGUGAACUCAUCUCCGGGGGUAGAGCACUGUUUCGGCUAGGGGGCCAUCCCGGCUUACCAACCCGAUGCAAACUGCGAAUACCGGAGAAUGUUAUCACGGGAGACACACGGCGGGUGCUAACGUCCGUCGUGAAGAGGGAAACAACCCAGACCGCCAGCUAAGGUCCCAAAGUCAUGGUUAAGUGGGAAACGAUGUGGGAAGGCCCAGACAGCCAGGAUGUUGGCUUAGAAGCAGCCAUCAUUUAAAGAAAGCGUAAUAGCUCACUGGUCGAGUCGGCCUGCGCGGAAGAUGUAACGGGGCUAAACCAUGCACCGAAGCUGCGGCAGCGACACUUUAGUGUUGUUGGGUAGGGGAGCGUUCUGUAAGCCGUUGAAGGUGUCCUGUGAGGGGUGCUGGAGGUAUCAGAAGUGCGAAUGCUGACAUAAGUAACGAUAAAGCGGGUGAAAAGCCCGCUCGCCGGAAGACCAAGGGUUCCUGUCCAACGUUAAUCGGGGCAGGGUGAGUCGACCCCUAAGGCGAGGCCGAAAGGCGUAGUCGAUGGGAAACGGGUUAAUAUUCCCGUACUUGGUGUUACUGCGAAGGGGGGACGGAGAAGGCUAUGUUGGCCGGGCGACGGUAGUCCCGGUUUAAGCGUGUAGGCUGGUUUUCCAGGCAAAUCCGGAAAAUCAAGGCUGAGGCGUGAUGACGAGGCACCACGGUGCUGAAGCAACAAAUGCCCUGCUUCCAGGAAAAGCCUCUAAGCAUCAGGUAACAUCAAAUCGUACCCCAAACCGACACAGGUGGUCAGGUAGAGAAUACCAAGGCGCUUGAGAGAACUCGGGUGAAGGAACUAGGCAAAAUGGUGCCGUAACUUCGGGAGAAGGCACGCUGACACGUAGGUGAAGUGAUUUACUCACGGAGCUGAAGUCAGUCGAAGAUACCAGCUGGCUGCAACUGUUUAUUAAAAACACAGCACUGUGCAAACACGAAAGUGGACGUAUACGGUGUGACGCCUGCCCGGUGCCGGAAGGUUAAUUGAUGGGGUCAGCGCAAGCGAAGCUCCUGAUCGAAGCCCCGGUAAACGGCGGCCGUAACUAUAACGGUCCUAAGGUAGCGAAAUUCCUUGUCGGGUAAGUUCCGACCUGCACGAAUGGCGUAAUGAUGGCCAGGCUGUCUCCACCCGAGACUCAGUGAAAUUGAACUCGCUGUGAAGAUGCAGUGUACCCGCGGCAAGACGGAAAGACCCCGUGAACCUUUACUAUAGCUUGACACUGAACAUUGAGCCUUGAUGUGUAGGAUAGGUGGGAGGCUUUGAAGCGUGGACGCCAGUCUGCGUGGAGCCGACCUUGAAAUACCACCCUUUAAUGUUUGAUGUUCUAACGUGGACCCGUAAUCCGGGUUGCGGACAGUGUCUGGUGGGUAGUUUGACUGGGGCGGUCUCCUCCUAAAGAGUAACGGAGGAGCACGAAGGUUGGCUAAUCCUGGUCGGACAUCAGGAGGUUAGUGCAAUGGCAUAAGCCAGCUUGACUGCGAGCGUGACGGCGCGAGCAGGUGCGAAAGCAGGUCAUAGUGAUCCGGUGGUUCUGAAUGGAAGGGCCAUCGCUCAACGGAUAAAAGGUACUCCGGGGAUAACAGGCUGAUACCGCCCAAGAGUUCAUAUCGACGGCGGUGUUUGGCACCUCGAUGUCGGCUCAUCACAUCCUGGGGCUGAAGUAGGUCCCAAGGGUAUGGCUGUUCGCCAUUUAAAGUGGUACGCGAGCUGGGUUUAGAACGUCGUGAGACAGUUCGGUCCCUAUCUGCCGUGGGCGCUGGAGAAUUGAGGGGGGCUGCUCCUAGUACGAGAGGACCGGAGUGGACGCAUCACUGGUGUUCGGGUUGUCAUGCCAAUGGCACUGCCCGGUAGCUAAAUGCGGAAAAGAUAAGUGCUGAAAGCAUCUAAGCACGAAACUUGCCCCGAGAUGAGUUCUCCCUGAGACCUUGAGUCUCCUGAAGGAACGUUAAAGACGAUGACGUUGAUAGGCCGGGUGUGUAAGCGCAGCGAUGCGUUGAGCUAACCGGUACUAAUGAACCGUGAGGCUUAACCUUACAACGCCGAAG